GAUAAAAUACUUUCAGGGAUCAUUUCUACAGUUCUUUGCUAGACAAGAUUCUCUGAAUGUGCAGAGCACCCGAAACCACGAGGAGGAGGUGCAGCCUUCUAUCCUGAGCAGGAAGCCGGCUCUGGGUGUUGCUUCUGCAGCUGCCCUUAGCCUGUGAUGAUCUUCCUUCCCUUCCUCUGGGAGAGUAAGAGGGAGAGAACACCAUCUGAGUGGU
Hippopotamus amphibius kiboko is the source of this 214-nucleotide small nucleolar RNA. RefSeq annotates it as small nucleolar RNA U3. The transcript has a single exon. The record is from RefSeq and is a predicted model, not a curated record. Lineage: Eukaryota; Metazoa; Chordata; Mammalia; Artiodactyla; Hippopotamidae.